This 2958-nucleotide long non-coding RNA is filed under the name Meleagris gallopavo (turkey). Its description in RNAcentral is "lncRNA (ENSMGAG00000022078.1)". Lineage: Eukaryota; Metazoa; Chordata; Aves; Galliformes; Phasianidae. The record is from RNAcentral.
GUGACUCGUGGGGCGACGGCCCGGGAUGAGGCUGGGAGCCGAUGGCAGGACGAGGAGCCAGGGCCGGUGCCCCGAGCUUUUCUAGGACAGUGCACUCCCCCCCGGGCCAUGUCUCCUGUAGUGGCCCAAGGCCACCGCGAUCACUUCUCUGUCCCCCUGGGGGGCAGCGGAGUGCUUAUGGCACAGGGAUGAUGGAUGACCAUGGUGAUCACCCUGUCCCUUUGUGUGCCACGUGCUUUGAGUCCUGGCAACGAAUUCAGCUGUGACCAUAGCCCCGGGACACCCGGUAUCACUGGGGACGGACCCGGUGGUGGGAGGAGGCGGCGGAUGGGACAAAGGUCCCACCAAGGUGGCCCGGCAGGGCUCUGGGGGCCUCAUCAACCCAGGCGGGCCGGUCCCCCAACCGGCGCUGCUGAGUCUCAGGAAAUGGAGGAGCCGGGUUGCUGGGGAACCAGCCCGACCGGCUCCCCGGCUGUCAGCACCUGAGGAAUGCCAAACCUCCGCUCGCCAGGGCUGGGUGCUCACCGAGGGCUGGGUGUUCGCCUGGUGACUCUGCCGGUCCGCCCAGCCGCGGCGUGCCGGUGCAGGGAGCAGCACCCCGAGCCCUGCGCAGUGCCUUCGGUGCGGUCGGUCAGUGCGGUGCCCACCCGGCGCGGCGGGACCCUCGGGCGGCAGGUACGUGGGGUGUGGGUUGGGGCUGUGGAUGCUGUGGGGGCCAGGAGCUGUAGGGCACCUGCUGCCACUCGGAGCCGUGCUCAGAUCCAAGUGCCGGUGCUGCCGUUUGGUCCCCCUGAGCUGAUGUCGGCACGGGUUGGGUCGCAGAGCCCGUUUCUGCCACUCGGCUUCAACUCCUUCAGGCUUUUAACCCUAUUCCCAACCCAAAGCACAUCCUCACGCCCAUUGAGGACAAAGAAGUGCUCACCCACCCCCAGUUGCCUUGUGGCUAGCAGAUAGCAGGGUCCCUGCCCACCCACAUUCCCUCCUCUCUGCAGGGCGUGUGCCUGUGGAAGCACCGGGUAACAAAAAGGGAAAUGGAAAUUGCCCUGCCCUAAUUAUUAGUCCUGAUCUGUGCAGCAGCCACUCAAACCAAAUUCUUGAUUUUCCUGGAGGCAGCGGGUCCGCUCUCACCUGCAGACAUUGGGAACAUCCCAGUGUGUCUGCAGGGCCAGAUUUCCCCAUGGCCACCAGCUCAAAGCUGGCCACAGGUUGCUGCCACCCAGCCCUUGGUCUCUUCGUUACAUUGCAGGCAUCUUAAUUGGGUUCCAGGAGCCCUGAUCAGGCUACUGAGAGACCCUUCUGAAUAGCAGGAGCCAACAAUUAGCUGAGCAGGUUUGCUUGGGUGGGACAGGUGAUUAAUUGCUGUGCCAGGUGCCCAUUGCAACAAUACAGCUGGGUUUCAUUGCAGCGUGUCCCAGCAUGUAGGAACGGCCACAUCCUCACCUGCCUCUAUCUGGGGUGCUGGUGCCAGGCAGGGCUGCAGAGCAUGGAGGUGGUGUGCCCUCUGUACCCCCAGCACACGCUGGGUGCCAGAACCAGCUGUGGCCCUAUGGAUUCAGCAGUGGCUCUGUGGAUCCAGAUGUAGCUUUGCUGAUGCAGAUGCAUGCCCCUGCCUGAGCUCUUCCUACAUCCAGUCCUGCUUGCUAUCCCAGACAUGGUCUCAUAGCGUACUGCAAAAUGACACCAACCCUUCCUAUAUAGACCAGAAAGACCUGCCGGGCUGGGGUGUGUGGCAGGCGGGCAGGAUCCAAUGUUCCUAUGCCAUCACUGAAAUAUUCUUGUGGAGGGCAGAGCAGAUGUGAUGGGGUUUGGAGGGGUCUAGCCCCGGGUGAACCCCAAAAUGGGAAGCGUCCAGUGCUGACUCAGGGAUGGGGGAAGUGGCCCCAUGGGAGAAAUCCAUUUCUCAUCAUGAGGAAUCAGCCCAUGGAGGGCCUUCCCCAUCCCCAGCCAAGAAAGUGCUAAAUUUUACCACUCUUUGGGCCAUACCCAAGUGCUAACCCCUCCUGCUGUCCCUGCAGCCCAUAUACAGCUGGUGUUUGGGUUGGGGACACCGAACAGCCCCUAAUUGAGAGAUGCUGAGAUGCUGAGAUGCUGCCACGCUUCCGGCUCAUUCACCCACAGCUGCUUUGUCAGCUGCUUUCCAUAUCCCAAACACAGCAAUAAAACCAUUCUGGGGCAGUCAGACAGCCCUGCAUGGCGUCACUCUGCCAGUCGCGGCCUCAGGGUGCCCAUGUCCUCCCCGGCAGCAUCCAGCACUGCCCAGCAUGGGGACACGGCACAGGGUGCUUGGUGCCUGCUCUGAUCAGGGUGCAAGCAGCGGGUAAUUAACGCAGCUCAUUUUCUUGUGCCAAUGGGGCCUCAUAUGUGGAUGGAGCAAUCCCAUCUUUGCUGAGCAAUAAUUGCCAUGAUCAAGGGAAGAUGCUGCUGGCCCCAACCUCCUGCAAAACCCCUGGGUGUUAUGGCACAGCCCCACUGAGGCCCUUUCACCUCAUGGAGCUGCUUCCCUGUUAUUUUUUGGGCUUGUUUGUUUGCUGUCUUUGCUGACUCGGUGCAGUCCUGCGCCCUCCUGACUCAUCCUGCAGCUCGGGGCAGAGCACAGCACAGCCAGAUCCUGCCCAGGUGGUGUGGCAGAGCGCUGGGACGUGCAGACAUUGCAUGGCAUUGCAUUUUGUUGCAUUGCAGUUUGUUGCACUGCGUUUCAUUUCAAUGCAUUGCAUUGCAUGUCAUUGCAUUUCUUACAUUUCAUGCAGUUGUAUUGCAUUUUGUUGCAUUUCGUUGCAUUGUGCUGCAUGUUGUGUCAUGUCAUUGCAUUGCAUUUCAUGUUGUGUUGUUGCAUAGCAUUGAAUUUUAUUUCAUUGUAAUGAAGGGAUGGUGGUACCCCGGGUCAUGCAUGGGUGAGCAUCCCAAGAGGGGCUCUAAGGAGACACAAAGGAGCACACACAUCUGUGUGCUUGAGACCCC